UUUUUACUUAUUUUUGACUCCCCUCAUUUGAACUGGAGCCUUGUUUUCAUUACGUAUCGGCAAACCAUUAACAGAAGCCAGUUGUUUAUAGAAUUGCACGACUUUGGGGUGUGCCAUCACCUUCGCAGGCGAAAAAUUAAGAACCUGGAGACCUUCUUGAGUAGUUGCACGAGAUAAGGCAACAUACGCUUGCCCUUUCUCAAAAACACGACCCAAAUCAACCUUGACUCGAUCCAAAGUCUGUCCUUGUGCCUUGUGAAUAGAUAUCGCAUAAGCCAAAAUAAGAGGAAUUUGGCUUCUAGAAGCUUGAACCUCACCAUUGGGAAGCUCAAUAUUCCAAGUUUCCCGUUGUACAACAAUUGUACGUUCACCUCCAUUUGGAAGUUUAAAACGAACUAAUGGCCAUUUUAUUGCCGUGGAUGAAGCUUUACGCAUUGCAAUCAAUUUAUAUUUCUUUUGCUUAACGUCUGGAAGAUCAAAGGGUGAAAUGUCUAAACUAUCAUAUUCAAAAGCAUUUCUUCCCUGCAUUUCAGCAUCCUUUUUUUCCAUUUGAUAGGUCUCAUCAUCUAUGAAACCUAUAACUUUUCCAAGAGAUCCAUUUACUAACUGAUCAUCUAUAUUCUUUAUAAGCAUUACCUGAGCAUUUACCUUUAACACUAAAGUGGCAGGAGCCAUGCACCCUUGCAGUAAUCGGUCACGAAAUUCUUUAUCUCGAACAGUACCCGAGUCAAUAGCGGUAAACGUGACAGGAUUUUGAUUAAUUUGUUGCAUACGCAUAUCGUUCGAACGCUCAACCUCAUAACGUGUGGGAAAUAACUCUGUCGGAAGAAGCCCAUCUUCAUAUUCAAUCGUUCUAUUAAGAACUUUGAAUUUUCUAACCGAUUCAUCAGAUAAUUUCCCGAGGCGCAAUUCAUUAAGCAUUUUGACAAAUUCCUCAUCCUUUUGCCGAAAAACGUGAGUCAAUCCUAUUGUAAAAUCAAGUGCGCUUUUCCAUGUCUGAGAUUCGAAACAGAAUUUCGAUUCUUUCCCAUUUUCUGGAACAGGAGGUAACUGAAAAAAAUCCCCAGUUAAAACCAACUGAAUUCCACCAAAUGGCUUACUAUCUUUGCGAAUAACACGCGCAACCUCUUCUAACUUGUCCAUUAAUUCAGCAUCGACCAUAGAAACUAUAGUUAUUAGUAAAUAUAAACUCACUUAAAUUGUUUACCUUCAUCAAUGAUCAAAACUCUGGUGCGCAACCAACGAUUAACACACUUCUUAUUUUUCUUUAUUUUAGAUACCAGGAGGUCGACAGAUUCACGAGCAAGGCCUACCCCAGCAAAGGAGUGAAGUGUUACACCGCCGAUAUUACAGGCUGCCAAGCCUGUAGAAGCGGUAACAGCAACUCUGUCAGAUUGCUUUCUAUAUUUAGAUUUUAGGACUUCAAUUAUUUUUCGGAGGAGAACAGAUUUACCUGUUCCAGCAGAGCCCGUAAAAAAUAUACUGUGUUGUUGCUCAACAACCAUGUCUAAAAUUCUUUUUUGCUCAUCGGAAAGGAAUAUGCUAGGGACAGAUUUUUUACGAGAAUCACUUGUCUUAAACAAAGAAGAUCCUAUUGGCGAUUUGGAAGCAGAGUUUAAAGGAACAGAAAAUUUUUUAGAUAUCUGUGGGGUAGACUUAGAUUUACUCAUGCGUUUUUUAGCCAGACUAUCCAAAGAACUGCUUCGUCCAUUGCUAAGCUUAUUUGAAGAAUCAUUAGAUACAGUGUGUUGACUGAUAUCAGCUGAAGUGCUGGUUCUUUUAGGAUCAGGAUCUCCAUAUCUGUAAGGAUCCACUGCCCAAGGAAGGGUUCGUGAGCGUUUUAUUCCCUGCCUCGUAAUAUUACUAGAUAUUACGCUACUUGCGCCUUUUUCAGAAGUAUGGUCUUCGUAAAUUUUUGAGAGAUGAUUUUUUGACCGCUUUUCGCUCGAGAGCAUUGAUUUAGUUAACUUAGUAUGCUCGAUAGGGGAUGAAGACCAAGGAAUUGGUUUUUGGUCAAUAUCGUUUUCUAAAAGUAGAUCAUCAUCAAAGUCAUUUUCAUCAAUAUAGACGCCAUUCGCUAUUUCAGUGGAGUAUUUACUACCCAAGCCAGAAUUUUCAAAAACGGGCAGUGAGGGUUUCGAAACAUCGAAUCCCACGGUGUUAUCAAGUUGUUUUAAGCUAGCAGCAGAACGACCUCUUUUGGCUGGUAGGGUUAUUGGAGAUGACGGAAGGUUAUCAGACUGGCUAGAAAAUGUUUGCUGAUCAUCAUUAGUAGAGGAGCGAGAGGAAUUGAAGUUUAAAGAAGCGGACGAAAAACCGCCCAAUUUGUUCAAGGAGGGUUGAUGCGAUGACUCGUUUUGUGUAUGAAGCAAGCUGCUUUUCUGCUGAGCUCUUUGAAACAUGACGGGGAUACGUUUCCUAAAAGAGUGACUAAAUUUAUAAAGAGAUUGGCACGAAAACAUUCAUCGAAUUACUUCAAGAAACUGGAAGGCGAUCUGUACGCAGGUUGUCUAAAAAAAGAAACCGUAAACGAAAUAGAUCACCCAAAAUUGUUUGAUCGAAGAAAAGCAACAAGAAAACAAUUUCAGUUUGAAUUUAAACAACAAUCUGCUACUGACUUAUGCGACCUCGACCUAACACCUAUGAUAAGCGGUCCAAGCACAUAAGAGUUGGAAGUAUCCCUUUGUUGAUUGUAUUAAUUGGGAUACCGGUUGAAGAAAUUUGUCAAUGUCGAGGAAACGGCUGUUGACAAGGAGGUACAGAAAUGAAAGCGCUAUACUAAUAAAAAUCAAAUUUACGGUGGUAGUGGACGAGACAAAUGAAAGCGCGUAUGUCAAGACGCGUCACGUCUGUCACCACCAGGCACGUGUUUUUUACUUCACAACUUUUGCACAAAUUUUUUAUCAUUCAAUACUGUAAUUAUCAUAAAGUCCUUUUUACAUUAGUCGUUCCUUAAGUAUAACUUGCAUAAUUUGCUUUCGGGGCCUAUGCAAUGCAAUGCAAAUAAAUUGACUUUUGUUAUAAUAUGUUACAAUCGAAGCAAAUAUUAACCCGUGUUUACAGUAAGUUAUUAAUUUUAUAAUAUUUGAUAAAACGCGUCUACGAUACCAUAUCCUCGGAAGUCUGUAAAUAAUAAAUGCUAUCAAUUAAUAAAUUAUAUACUGUAUGUAGACUAAAACAAUCAAUACUAAGUCGAAAAUUCAAUAAUGAGCGACAAACGAUUUAAAUUCGUUGACCAACCAACUUUGGUAAAGAUACACAAAAACAUGCAUCUUUAGGUAAGUAUCGUGUUCUUCAGCAGUCCGUGUCAAACAUCCCGUUUUAAAGAGACUUUAGAAGUGGAAAAUAACAUAAAAAUACAAGGUUACGGUUAUCACAAAUACCUAGAGUCAUAGGAGGGAUAACUUCAACAGUAAGGAUUGCCAAUCGAUUUGUACUACCGACAAAUUUAAAAGGAAGAA
Non-coding RNA from Schizosaccharomyces pombe (fission yeast), 3461 nucleotides. The record is from the annotation of a GenBank genome assembly. NCBI's taxonomy places the organism in Eukaryota, Fungi, Ascomycota, Schizosaccharomycetes, Schizosaccharomycetales, Schizosaccharomycetaceae.